GACGAACGCUGGCGGCGUGCUUAACACAUGCAAGUCGAACGGUGAAGCGCCUUCCUUUUUGGUGGGUGUGGAUGAGUGGCGAACGGGUGAGUAACACGUGAGUAACCUGCCCCCUUCUUCUGGAUAACCGCAUGAAAGUGUGGCUAAUACGGGAUAUUCUGGGUCUGUCGCAUGAUGGGUCUGGGAAAGAUAUUGUUUCGGUGGGGGAUGGGCUCGCGGCCUAUCAGCUUGUUGGUGGGGUGAUGGCCUACCAAGGCGGUGACGGGUAGCCGGCCUGAGAGGGUGGACGGUCACACUGGGACUGAGACACCGCCGAGACUCCUACGGGAGGCAGCAGUGGGGAAUAUUGCACAAUGGGCGAAAGCCUGAUGCAGCGACGCCGCGUGAGGGAUGGAGGCCUUCGGGUUGUGAACCUCUUUCGGCAGUGAAGCAGGCCUGCCUCGUUUGUGGGUGGGUUGACGGUAGCUGGAUAAGAAGCGCCGGCUAACUACGUG
RNAcentral lists this ribosomal RNA (494 nucleotides) under uncultured bacterium. RNAcentral's name for it is "partial 16S ribosomal RNA". It matches the Rfam family "Bacterial small subunit ribosomal RNA", at positions 28 to 507 of the family's 1533-position model. The record is from RNAcentral.